CUUAUUUCUAGAGAUAGAAAGUUACUUCGGUACAUCGGUGACAGGUGGUGCAUUGGUUGUCGUCAGCUCGUGUCGUGAGAUGUUGGGUUAAGUCCCGCAACGAGCGCAACCCCUAUUGUUAGUUGCCAUCAUUCAGUUGGGCACUCUAGCGAGACUGCCGGUAAUAACCGGAGGAAGUGGGAUGACGUCAAAUCAUCAUGCCCCUUAUGACCUGGGCUACACACGUGCUACAAUGGUUGGUACAACGAGUUGCGAGUCGGUGACGGCGAGCUAAUCUCUUAAAGCCAAUCUCAGUUCGGAUUGUAGGCUGCAACUCGCCUACAUGAAGUCGGAAUCGCUAGUAAUCGCGGAUCAGCACGCCGCGGUGAAUACGUUCCCGGGCCUU
This 385-nucleotide ribosomal RNA is filed under the name uncultured Streptococcus sp. RNAcentral's name for it is "bacterial SSU rRNA". It matches the Rfam family "Bacterial small subunit ribosomal RNA", at positions 993 to 1382 of the family's 1533-position model. The record is from RNAcentral. Lineage: Bacteria; Bacillati; Bacillota; Bacilli; Lactobacillales; Streptococcaceae.